This 382-nucleotide long non-coding RNA is filed under the name Cricetulus griseus (Chinese hamster). RNAcentral's name for it is "lncRNA (ENSCGRG00015040077.1)". Lineage: Eukaryota; Metazoa; Chordata; Mammalia; Rodentia; Cricetidae. The record is from RNAcentral.
GGGAGGGAACGCUGCUGUCUCUGACUCACAGCUGUCUGUUGAAUUUCUGCCAUCACCAGUUAAGGCAUAGAUUAGGCCUGACUCUACAACUCAUUGCUAGACCUGAGAGGAUGGAGAGAUACCAGCCUCAGAAGAAGCUGUCCUAACUGAAGAAACCAUCCACUCACUUAACCCAUGUAAUAUCAUAGCUCCAUGAGACGGGAUCAACUUCUGACUUGCAGUAAGUCAUCCAUUUCCAAGACACCACCUCAACUGCUAAGACACUGUCCAAACUGUGGACAAGCAGGAAACUGGAGAAUUGAUUACCCUGCUUUGCCAAGACAAGAUAAGCUCAAAGAAAGGGACAGUCUUCAAAGGCCUUGUCAUUAAAGAGAAAAGAAAC